RNAcentral lists this transfer RNA (70 nucleotides) under Turritopsis dohrnii. RNAcentral's name for it is "tRNA-Trp". It matches the Rfam family "tRNA". Rfam says of the family: Transfer RNA (tRNA) molecules are approximately 80 nucleotides in length. Their secondary structure includes four short double-helical elements and three loops (D, anti-codon, and T loops). Lineage: Eukaryota; Metazoa; Cnidaria; Hydrozoa; Anthoathecata; Oceaniidae. The record is from RNAcentral.
AGGGAAUUUGAUUAAGUAGAUCAAAUAGUCUUCAAAACUAUUAGUGUUGGUUCGAAUCCAGCAUUCCUUG